CAAUUUUAAAGAGUAAGAUUAAAGAAUCAAGAUGCAAAGAAGACAAAGGAAAAAUUUAUACCAAUAUCUAGAGGAAAAGCAUUCCAUGGAAUGGAAAAGGAAUAUAAAGAUCUUAAGGUACCACUUGGGAGCCUGGGGAUUGCAGUGCACAGUCUGCUACUUCCACCUCUGAUGUCCACACAUGCUACCUGGAGGCCCAAGGAUUGGCGUGAUGCUGCUGCUGUCUUUCUGAACACCAUGCACACCGCCCAGGGUCCUGAAGACCUGCCUGCAUGCCCAGUCCACUGCUGCCACUGCCAGAAAUUUAGCAAGCUGUCUGAAGGCACAAGGAUUGGCCUGCCCAGAACUACUACCACCAGUGCCCAUAUAUAACAUUUGAGUGUCCAAGGAUUGGCAUGCCAGGCCCACCAACACCUGAAGACAAGCCCCCCUGAUGUUCCUGCCUUCAGCAAUGCCUCAAUUUCAGCUUCCACUAAUAAGCAUAGCCUAAACCACUGAGAAACUCAUAAACACUACUGAUGCAGAUUAUAGUUGAGGAAAUUACACAGAGAUUACACUACUGUGCACACUCAGAUUCAAAGGGAAAGCACUUUAAGCAACUUACACUAUAAAUGAACCCAUAGAAAAAGUCUUCUACAAAAGCCAAUGCAUAGCAUUGGAAAGAGUGACUGUUAUACCUGAUGCCCAAAUAUCAAUGGAAGGACACAAGAAACAUAAAAAAGCAAGGAAACAUAACAACUCUAAAGAAACACAAUAAUUCUCCAGCAAGAGAUACCUAUGAAAAAGAAAUCUAUAAAAGGCCUGCAAAAGAAACUGAAACAAUGAUUUUUUAAAGAAACUUAGUGAGAUACAAGAGAACACAGAUAAUAAUACAGAGAAAUCAGAAAAACAAUUUACAAACUAAGUGAGAAACUCAAAAAAGAGAUAUAUACCAUAAGAAAGGACCACUGGAACUGAAUAACUCAAGGAAUGCAAUAAAAAGUGCAAAUGAGAACAUCAAAACUAGACUAGAUGAAGCAGAAGAAAUAAUUUCUGAACUUGAAGACAGAUCUUUUGAAAUAACUUAGACUAAAAAAAGAAAAGAAUAGGAAAGAGUAAAAUCUACAUGAGAUAUGGAAUACUAUAAAGGUACCAAAUAUAUGAAUUUGGGGUGUUCCAGAAGGAGAAGAGAAGGGCAAAAGCAUAGAAACUUUAUUUAAUCAAAUAAUAGCUAAACAUUUUACAAGUCUUGCAAGAGAUAUAGAAAAUGGAUACAGAAAGCUCAAAAAAAAAAAAAAAGUAAAAACAAAACUCCAAAUAGAUUCAGUUCCAAAAGAUCUUGUUCAAGGCAGAUUAUAGUCGAACGGUCAACAGUUUUAAUAUUUCUUUUCUUUGCUACUCUGAUUAUAUAUUUUCAAAUAAUCUGUCUUCAAGUUUAUAGAUUCUUCUGUUUUACCAGUUUUGCUGUUGAUGCUUUCUAUUGCAUUUUUUAUUUUGUUCUUUGUAUUUUU
Molecule: long non-coding RNA, 1490 nt
Filed under: Homo sapiens (human)
Lineage: Eukaryota; Metazoa; Chordata; Mammalia; Primates; Hominidae
Description: HSALNT0191925
Source: RNAcentral